CGACUUGUCCUACGCCGCCGGUCUGUCAUCAUCAGCGAUUGUUGCCAGUCCACAAGCCUCAGCUCCUCCCUGUACCCCCCAGCGCGGAGGUGAGACCGGGAAACCUGAUUUGGUUCACGCUGACUCUGGCAAGGAGUCAUGUGACUGGAUCACAUGAGGAAGUGGCCAGAGUUCUUUUAGACAUCAGUUGAAUGGUGUUUCUGUAUUAGUUUUCUACCUGAAUGCCGGGGCGGGCCGUCCUCCUCCGUCCCCUGAGGGCUGGUCCCCCUGCCCCAAGAGUGGGUCCAGAAAGCCGACACGAAAGCCAUUCUCAGCUGACACAAGGCACGCCAACCCAACCUCUCCCGCUGCACACAGCAAGUUAACAGCCUGGCAGGAAGGACGGCAGCAUAGCAAUAUCUCAGCAUUAGCAGUGAGUGUGGAAGGAGGUGUGUGGUACGGACACACCAAGAAAAUGUACAGCCUCUACAGCCUCACCUGCGACUUGACAGAGGAACGUGGAUGUUGGUCCAAGCCAGAGGACAUUUUGAUUAUUGCUGAAAAGGCCUGUUUUUGGCUUCAAGAUUGUCGAUCCCUUCAGACGCUGAUGGAGAGAAGGAUUCUGUGCGACCCCUGGUCUCUCAUUGGUUUUCUUUCUGGUUGACCAUCAUGGUGCUCUAUGCAAACAGAAGCUGCUCAUCUUCAUCACACUGACGAAAUGUUCCAAGAUCUCUCUCCUAGAUUUUUGUUCUCGGGUAGCAUUCGAUUCGUAUUUUUCUCUUUUAAAAAGAUAUCAGCUUGUUUUAUUUUUGAGUGAAAUACAGUAACCCUAUUUUGAUUUUAAUUUGCGAUGUUAUACAUGCAGGAGUCUUUACUCUUAAGCCAAUAUGUCUCCUUCAUGUGUUGUUCUUCGUGAGUCGGGUGUGGUCAGGCACUGAGCUGACCUUGCCUCUGCCAGCAGGGCCACAGUCUCUUCCAGACGGGUGAAAUGGUUUACAGACGGUGUCAGUGCACUCAGAGGCCGGUCGAGGCCGCAAAAGGCCCAGUCUACUGGAGGAGGUACUUUUUUAGUGUCAGCAAAGAUUGUGUGCUGUUGACCUCAGAGUGACAUUACAGAAUAUUUAAUAGUGAAAUUUGGAAAGCCGGCUGUAAGUUACAGGGAGGACAGGUAAGCAAAUGAGCUGAGCACUGUCAGCAAGCAACCCCUUCCAGAGGGCCACUGCUGUGUGCUGGUUAGCUCAUAAAUGGGAACUCCCCAGAUUGUAGCGCAUCACUGACUCGGAGAUUUCUGCAGACUGGACGUGGCCUGAUCCUCGCUCCACGUAGCUCUUCCCCUCCUGGUCACAGGUUUGAUGAGACGUUCGACGAGGUUGAGGAAGAGGACUGGCGUGGAGACUUUGCUGCUGAUCUGCUCAAUCCGAUUACCCUCAGUCACGUACCAUGAACGAUUGUGUUUGUUUUGUUUUUUUUUUUUUUGGGGGGGGGGGGGGGGGGACGACUUUUUCUGUUUUUGACCCUGAACCUGCGGCUUCCCUCAGACCUGUGGAACUGUAGCCCAGGUCCUAUAUGUCUGGAAGAGUCUCCUUUCGGCAUUGCUGACCCCCGGCCUCUGACCGUGCUUCUGGGAGGAUGAUGACCGAUCUGGCUCCAGCCCCUUUUUGGCUCAGGGGGAAACUGCGUGAAAAGAGCCUCCCUUCCCCAGAGACGCAACGGCAGCAGGUUUUCAGCAGCUACUACAGCGGCUCAGGCUCCCAGCGGCAGAGACCGCCGGCGGCGGCCCGGCGGGGCCCAGAACUGCUUUUCUUUGGGUAAUGUCUCUCAUCCUAUUCAUGGGAGGACACUUGCUGAGGGUGGCGAUCGGGUGCUGGGGAGUUUCCUUCUCGGCUGUCUAGUUUUGUCACAGAAGUGGCUUUCUGUCAUGUACUUCGGCAUGGUGUACUAUAGCACUACGAGCAGUAACCUGCGUUUGAAGGAAAGUGAACCGCUGGCUCCUGCUUUUGCCGGCUGCCUCCUCGCCUUUCAUGCUUCUCUCUCUCCCAAACAUACUCACUGUGCUCUUUCUGUAUAUAUUGUACAGAGUAAUUAUUUUAAGACCCUUGGAUGCUAUUGAAAUUUCCUACUUUGUUUAGUUUUUUUUUUUCUUUCUUUUUUUUUUUUUUUUUUAAACCGUUGAUAUAAUAUGAGAACUGUAGCUGAUAACGGCUUUAUAUUUGAAGUGUUGUGACUUUUCUGUGUUUCGUUCUCAUCUUAUCCUCCUUUCCUUCUAACCCUGCACGUCCGUGCUGCUCAAGUCCGCUCGCUGUCCACAUCUUCCUUGUUUCGCAUGAAUGGAUCAGUGAUUCCUCUACGGCGAGAGUCGCACAGGUUGAGCCCUGGAUGAAUGUUUUAAAGCCUCUGCGCAACCCCCCCCCCCCCCCCCCCCCCCCCCCCCAUCAUUCUGAGGGCCGAGGCCUCCGAGCCCCCACAGUUGUGGGCUGGAUCUGAUCAGUGCCAGCUGCUUUAUUUUAGAAAUAUUUUAUCAGAACUGCCAUGUGAUGUAUGAGGUGACAGGUUGCAUUGGUGUGAUGAGCAUGUAUCAGUAUGUCACGCUGACGCUAACGUGACGUCUGGUGAGAGCGACGCGUGUCGCAUGGCUGCAGUCAGCGGAAAUAGGCUCGUGUGCUCAGACACGGACAUUUACACGUCAGACCUCUGCUCUGAGAUCUUUUUCACUCUUUUUUUGUUAGCAGCUUGCAUGUUCGAAUGCCAACUGCGAGUCGUCCUGGAGGUCUGUGCACUUUGAAAGAUGGGGGAGUUUUGGUCUUAUUUUCUGUGCUGAAGCGCAGGAAGCUGGGCAGUGUUGUUCUGUCACCGUGUGUCAUGCCGUCGUAGGACAGCGUCUCCGCUGUGGUUCAGUUGACGUCUGACAGCAAUCAUGCUCCAAAACUGCCUACUUAAAAAUUGCAAACCACAAGAGGUGAAGGAUGUUCUCUGAAUGCCUCUCGCGUCCCCACAAGCUGUGUGGUUUUAUUCUCAUACGAUGAGUACAUUUUAACUUUUUUUUAAUCAAAUAGAAGCGGUCGGAAACAAGUGUAAUUAGUAAUAAUUUAGUCGGCCUUCCGUCUCUGGAAGCUACACUAGGAAACCUGUGCUGGCCCUUGAGUUGGAGUGUGCAGGUGAAACAGCGCUUGAUCCUUUAUAAUUUAUUGCUAAACUUUAAUCCCCCCCCACGCAGCCGUUGCUAAAGUCUUUGCUAAAAUGGUGCUCAAUAGACAUCUUCUGUGAUCCCACACGUGAGAGGGGACAGUGUAUCCUGUCGUGUGUCCCUUUCUCCAUGGACCUGUCUGCUUGUGCACCUCACAGCAACACCCCCCCCCCCCCCCCCCCCCCCCACCCCCUUCCUGUCCUUUGCAGCCAGGGGUUCAGAGACUCGGUAUCUGUCAUCGGUACUUGAAAGGAAGAUGUUUACAUGCUUUUUUUAAUGCUGUGUUUGAAUCCCAUUCUCCCGUUUAACCCCACUUGCCCGCCACUCUCCUUAUUUUCAUGCACCCCCUCCCCCCACUGAAGUUUUCUGUCAUGUAAAGUGUACAUUACCACGUUUCUUUUUAUACAAUACUGUAACUUGCCUUUGUACAUUUAGGCAAAAAAUAAAUCUUUUUAUGAGACAAUCA
This is a long non-coding RNA of Brienomyrus brachyistius, 3629 nucleotides long. RefSeq lists it as uncharacterized. The transcript has 3 exons. The record is from RefSeq and is a predicted model, not a curated record. Lineage: Eukaryota; Metazoa; Chordata; Actinopteri; Osteoglossiformes; Mormyridae.